This 28-nucleotide small RNA is filed under the name Bombyx mori (domestic silkworm). RNAcentral describes it as "ovarian small RNA-9431". Lineage: Eukaryota; Metazoa; Arthropoda; Insecta; Lepidoptera; Bombycidae. The record is from RNAcentral.
UUAUAUAGGUUGGGGUUUCUAUUGGAGC